GGUAAGGGGGUGAACUCUGACUUGAAGAAGAAAGGAAUCUGUACAAAUAAGAAUAUACCUUUUAUAGUGUUGAUAAUACUAGGUGGAAUUCUUCUAGUACUGUCUUUCGUCGUCGUCGGAAUUAUUGCUAACAGUUGAAUGUCUUUAUCAUGACCCGGUGAUUUAUGAAGCUGACAUUGACUUCCGCAUUGUUGACAAUCAGUCACGUAGCAUUUGAAGGCGGUGCCAAUAAACUGGUAGACAGCCAUGUGCACGGCUGAUAAUACAUAUCUUGGUGUAUUUUGUUAGAAAUUUAGAAGAAAAAAUAUUACAAGCUCAUUAAGGCUAUCAAAACUGCUAUAACAUUUAUUUAUUAAAAUCUUAUUUAUUUAUUCA
This is a long non-coding RNA of Ruditapes philippinarum (Manila clam), 375 nucleotides long. RefSeq lists it as uncharacterized. Lineage: Eukaryota; Metazoa; Mollusca; Bivalvia; Venerida; Veneridae. The transcript is spliced from 2 exons. The record is from RefSeq and is a predicted model, not a curated record.